GACGAACGCUGGCGGCGUGCUUAACACAUGCAAGUCGAACGAUGAACCGGAGCUUGCUCUGGGGAUUAGUGGCGAACGGGUGAGUAACACGUGGGCAACCUGCCCCAGACACCGGGAUAACUAUCCGAAAGGAUCGCUAAUACCGGAUACGACCACUUCGGGCAUCCGACGGUGGUGGAAAGGAUUCUGGUCUGGGAUGGGCCCGCGGCCUAUCAGCUUGUUGGUGGGGUAAUGGCCUACCAAGGCGACGACGGGUAGCCGGCCUGAGAGGGCGACCGGCCACACUGGGACUGAGACACGGCCCAGACUCCUACGGGAGGCAGCAGUGGGGAAUAUUGCGCAAUGGGCGAAAGCCUGACGCAGCGACGCCGCGUGAGGGACGAAGGUCUUCGGAUUGUAAACCUCUUUCAGCAGGGAUGAAGCGAAAGUGACAGUACCUGCAGAAGAAGCACCGGCUAACUACGUGCCAGCAGCCGCAGUAAGAC
Molecule: ribosomal RNA, 485 nt
Filed under: uncultured bacterium
Lineage: Bacteria
Description: bacterial SSU rRNA
Rfam family: Bacterial small subunit ribosomal RNA
Source: RNAcentral